AGAAUAUUAAUUCUGUCAUGUAGCUAAUAAAAAGAAGACUGAAGCCUGUCUAACUGGCAGGGGCCCACCACCACCUCCCCUCACCCCAUCUGAGGAGCUGGCUCUGUCCCUUAAUAAAGGGCGACCAGUGGAUGCUGGCAUUCCAGGGGACAGUUCAUCACACACACCAUGCACCACAAGUGAUGGUGAAAAAAUGGUGAAAUAUACUGAUGGACGUAUUGUAUUAUUGGACCCUCCAGAAAGAACACAGUCUGUCACAGUUGUAAUUGACUUGUUGAGCUGUAUAAGGUCCAUCUCCAAAAACAAAUAAGAAAAAGUGACAUGGAGAGGGACCUUAUACAGUUUCAAAUGGAAGAGAAAAGGUUUCUCAUUAAAAAAGCAGCACUUGAAAUUGAAUUACUGGAGCAUCGCCUUAAGGAAAUAAAGAAAUACACUGCCUGGCAGACCAGUGCAAAAAAAUUAAUAAGUGAUUUUGACAGAUCCUG
Molecule: long non-coding RNA, 485 nt
Organism: Silurus meridionalis
Lineage: Eukaryota; Metazoa; Chordata; Actinopteri; Siluriformes; Siluridae
Exons: 3
Source: RefSeq, a predicted model, not a curated record